CCCGACUGCUAUUUGGGUGAGAAUAAGCCAUGCGAGUUGAAUGGGAUACCUAAAGUUCCCAUAGCAAACUGCUCAGUAACACAUGAUCAACUUACCCUAUAGAGAAAAAUAACCUCGGGAAACUGAGGAUAAUAUUUCAUAAUUGAAUUGGCUUGGAAAAGUUUUUCAAUGAAAAGGAUAAAAAAAAUGGUUUUUAUCUGCUAUAGGAUAGGAUCGUGUUCGAUUAUGGUUGUUGGUGAGAUAAUGGCUCACCAAGCCGAUAAUCGAUAGGGGCCGUGAGAGCGGGAGCCCCGAGAUGGGUACUGAGACAACGACCCAGGCCUUACGAGGCGCAGCAGGCGCGGAACCUCCGCAAUACACGAAAGUGUGACGGGGUUACCCAAAGUGUUCAAUAGAACUGUGGUAGGUGAGUAAUGUUCCCUACUAGAAAGGAGAGGGCAAGGCUGGUGCCAGCCGCCGCGGUAAAACCAGCUCUUCAAGUGGUCGGGAUAAUAUUGGGCUUAAAGUGUCCGUAGCCGGUUUAGCAAGUUCCUGGUAAAAUCAGGUAGCUUAACUAUCUGCAUGCUAGGAAUACUGCUAUACUAGAGGGCGGGAGAGGUCUGAGGUACUACAGGGGUAGGGGUGAGAUCUUAUAAUCCUUGUAGGACCACCAGUGGCGAAGGCGUCAGACUGGAACGCGCCUGACGGUGAGGGACGAAAGCCAGGGGAGCGAACCGGAUUAGAUACCCGGGUAGUCCUGGCCGUAAACGAUGCAUACUAGGUGAUGGUACGGUCAUGAGCCGUAUCAGUGCCGUAGGGAAACCGUUAAGUGUGCCGCCUGGGAAGUACGGUCGCAAGGCUAAAACUUAAAGGAAUUGGCGGGGGAGCACCACAAGGGGUGAAG
This 883-nucleotide ribosomal RNA is filed under the name uncultured archaeon. Its description in RNAcentral is "bacterial SSU rRNA". It matches the Rfam family "Archaeal small subunit ribosomal RNA", at positions 21 to 893 of the family's 1478-position model. The record is from RNAcentral.